GGAACGCCGAUAGCUGCUUUGUCCCGCCUCGAUAGCGGUUUUGGGUUGCCCCCGAAGCUUUGUGACGAGUUGAGGGGAUCGCGGUGGCGUUGAGAAGUAUAUUUACCAAAAUGGUGUGAUGGUGCAAGCAUAAGCCAGCUACGUCAACCAAGUUCAAACCAUCCCUUGAUAGUCUGAAGCUUUACAAGGAGGAGGAGAGAACUGCAGGUUUUAGCCCAUCUCUUCAAGCUGCUGGGCUUGUUCUGAGGAAGGAAACUUCUGUUGUCAUGGGUGUUCGGAGUGCAGUCCAAAAAACAAUUCUGUGAGCAAGUGGAGAAUUGAGGAGAUGAAGACCCUGUAAAAGAAGGAUGGUGAACAUACAACUGGACUGUGGUCACUGCUGUAUGGAAUUGGAGUUCAAUGGCACCACCCAGAGAGGUAGCUGAAAAUUCCAUCUACUUUCAUAUUGAUACCCUUUCUGCAAGAGCCUGUGAGUUCCUUGGGCCCAUGACACAUUUGUGUCUGCAAUGCAUUCUGCAAAAGUAUCACAUACUUGUGACAUUUUAAGAAUACAUAAGGAAGAAUGCAAGGACAAGAGAUUCACAGGAAGCAACCAUGUUGGGAACAGUGAUUUAUUUGUUCAGAGGAGAUGCU
Tyto alba (common barn owl) is the source of this 633-nucleotide long non-coding RNA. RefSeq lists it as uncharacterized. The record is from RefSeq and is a predicted model, not a curated record. The transcript has 3 exons. NCBI's taxonomy places the organism in Eukaryota, Metazoa, Chordata, Aves, Strigiformes, Tytonidae.